This 240-nucleotide unclassified non-coding RNA is filed under the name soil metagenome. RNAcentral's name for it is "partial contains 5.8S ribosomal RNA, internal transcribed spacer 2, and large subunit ribosomal RNA". The record is from RNAcentral.
AACUGAUACUACCUGCGGGAACCUGCGGAGGGAUCAUUAUUGAUUUUUAGGGGAUGUGCUGGUCCCUAACCCUCAGGGACAUGUGCACUCUCCAAAAAACCAAAUAUCCACCUGUGCACUUAUCAGUAGGCAAAAGACUUUUGCAAGUCUUUUGUCUAUGUUUUAUUACAAGCACUUGAGCUAUUUCAAUGCUUCAUACAAUAACAUAAUUGUAAUACAACUUUCAGCAAUGGAUCUCUA